RNAcentral lists this ribosomal RNA (402 nucleotides) under uncultured bacterium. Its description in RNAcentral is "bacterial SSU rRNA". It matches the Rfam family "Bacterial small subunit ribosomal RNA", at positions 355 to 750 of the family's 1533-position model. The record is from RNAcentral.
UGGGGAAUUUUGGACAAUGGGGGCAACCCUGAUCCAGCCAUGCCGCGUGAGUGAAGAAGGCCUUCGGGUUGUAAAGCUCUUUCGGCCGGGAAGAAAUCGCUCAAGCUAAUACCUUGGGUGGAUGACGGUACCGGAAGAAGAAGCACCGGCUAACUACGUGCCAGCAGCCGCGGUAAUACGUAGGGUGCGAGCGUUAAUCGGAAUUACUGGGCGUAAAGCGUGCGCAGGCGGCGCCAUAAGACAGAUGUGAAAUCCCCGGGCUUAACCUGGGAACUGCGUUUGUGACUGUGGUGCUCGAGUGCGGCAGAGGGGGUGGAAUUCCACGUGUAGCAGUGAAAUGCGUAGAGAUGUGGAGGAACACCGAUGGCGAAGGCAGCCCCCUGGGUCGACACUGACGCUCAU